RNAcentral lists this ribosomal RNA (1246 nucleotides) under metagenome. RNAcentral's name for it is "bacterial LSU rRNA". It matches the Rfam family "Bacterial large subunit ribosomal RNA", at positions 1564 to 2818 of the family's 2925-position model. The record is from RNAcentral.
UGAGUACGAGACGCUAAGGCGUUGAAGUAGUGUACGUCAUACUUCCAAGAAAAGCUUGCACUGUCAUAGAUAAAAAAUGCCUGUACCAUAACCGACACAGGUGGGUAGGUAGAGUAUACUAAGGGGCGCGAGAUAACUCUCUCUAAGGAACUCGGCAAAAUAACUCCGUAACUUCGGGAGAAGGAGUGCCUUAUUUUAUAAGGUUGCAAUAACAAGAUCCAAGCAACUGUUUAUCAAAAACACAGGUCUCCGCUAAGUCGUAAGACGAUGUAUGGGGGCUGACGCCUGCCCAGUGCCAGAAGGUUAAAGAAGUCGGUUAGCAUUAGCGAAACUGGUAACUGAAGCCCUGGUGAACGGCGGCCGUAACAAUAACGGUCCUAAGGUAGCGAAAUUCCUUGUCGGGUAAGUUCCGACCCGCACGAAAGGCGUAAUGAUUUGGAUACGGUCUCGGAGAGGGGCUCGGUGAAAUAGACUUGUCUGUGAAGAUGCGGACUACCUGCACCAGGACAGAAAGACCCUAUGAAGCUUUACUGUAACUUGAAAUUGAAAUUGGACUUUAUUCGCGCAGUAUAGGUGGGAGGCGUUGAUUAUAAUCUUGCGGGAUUAUUGGAGCCAUCAGUGAGAUACCACUCUUGUAAUGUUAGAUUUCUAACUUUGAAUCAUUAUCUGGUCAAAGGACAGUUUCAGGCGGGCAGUUUGACUGGGGCGGUCGCCUCCCAAAUGGUAACGGAGGCGUACAAAGGUUUCCUCUGAACGGGUAGAAAUCGUAUCUAGAGUGUAAAGGCAUAAGGAAGCUUGACUGUGAGACCUACAAGUCGAGCAGGGACGAAAGUCGGUCUUAGUGAUCUGACGGUACUGAGUGGAAAGGCCGUCACUCAACGGAUAAAAGUUACUCUAAGGAUAACCGGCUGAUCUCCCCCAAGAGUUCACAUCGACGGGGAGGUUUGGCACCUUGAUGUCGGCUCAUCGCAUCCUGGGGCGGUAGUACGUCCCAAGGGUUGGGCUGUUCGCCCAUGAAAGCGGUACGCGAGCUGGGUUCAGAACGUCGUGAGACAGUUCGGUCCAUAUCCGGUGUAGGCGUUAGAAUAUUGAGAGGAGCCUUCUUUAGUACGAGAGGACCGAGAAGGACAUACCUCUGGUGUACCAGUUAUCGUGCCAACGGUAAACGCUGGGUAGCUAUGUAUGGAGUGGAUAACCGCUGAAAGCAUCUAAGUGGGAAGCCCACCUCAAGAUAAGUAUUCUCAUC